This is a long non-coding RNA of Seriola aureovittata, 1321 nucleotides long. RefSeq lists it as uncharacterized. The record is from RefSeq and is a predicted model, not a curated record. Lineage: Eukaryota; Metazoa; Chordata; Actinopteri; Carangiformes; Carangidae. The transcript is spliced from 3 exons.
GCUAUCUGAGCCGUGCGAUUGGUUGGCUUUCCUCGCAGAUGAAGAGGCAGCACCUCGGAGAGGAGAGAGAAAAAAGGGACAAGCGGUUAGAUUUACCUCGACCAUGGCACCUUGACUACAGUUGCAAAAACCAUCAAACGCUUUGAUGAAACUGGCUCUCAUGAGGACCGUCCCAGGAAAGGAAGACCAAGACUUACCUCUGCUGCAGAGGAAAUCAGCAAUUAACAGUACCUCACAUUUGAGCCUAUAUGAAUGCUUCACGGAGUUCAAGUAGCAGACACAUCUCAACAUCAACUGUCGGAGGAGACUGCGUGAAUCAGGCCUUCGGGGUCGAAUUGCUGCAAAGAAACCACUGAGGGAGGCAAAUAAAAAGAAGAGAAUUGCUUGGGCCAAGAAACACAAGAAAUGGAUAUUAGAUCAGUGGAAAUAAGUCAUUUGGUCGGAUGAGUCCAAAUUUUAGAUUUUUGGUUCCAACGGCCGCGUCUUUGUGAAAAGGGGAACGAAUGGUAUCUGCAUGUCUUGUUCCCACCGUGAAGAAGCAAAGAUGGCUAUGUUGAAGAAUCUUUGAUGGUUUUUGUAACACUUUGUUUGUUUACUACAUAAUUCCAUGUGUUAUUUCAUAGUUUUGAUGCCUUUAGCGUCAUCCAAAAUUAUAGAAAAUAAUAACAGAUAAACUAAAAGCAUUGAAUUAGAAGGUGUGUCCAAACAUUUGACUGGUACUGUAUAUCAGAGCUGAGGGUGGACCUCUCCCUCUCUCUCUCUCUCUCUCUCUCUCCCUUUGGCAGACAUCAGGUCUCACCACACCCCAUGUCUUACAGUUGACUGAGAUAUAGUACAUUCCUUUAAUCACCAUUCCUAAACUUGAAAGAUUCCUGCCUGUUGUAUCUUAUUGCCAAGAUUCCUCAUACAUCUCUGGCUAAUAACAAUGUGUUAGCUUGCCCAGAAAGGCCCAAGCUUCUUUGUUUCCCUACAGGAGUAUUUAGAAGUUCGGGCCAGGGGGCUUUGAGUAUGUUUGUUUUCGUUAGUUUACUUGCAAAUUAGUAAGUUAGUUUUACCCACAAAUUGGAGGCAUCCCCACAAUGUUCUGUUGAGUUUUCACCCCAGGAGGGUCGAGUGAAAACAGUGAGCACAUCUAUUCAAAAAAUCUGAUUGAAUAACAUUUAAAAUGCUGAUAUGUUUGCCCUACAUAAACUGCUGUUUGAUAAUUAUGUGAAUUAAUUUCACAAACAACAUAAUAAUAUUAUUAUUGUCUGACAUAAUCAGAUAUUUCCCACUCAUUCUAAACUGCAGAAAUACUAUCUCUGAAACAUACAUACAUCAC